Sphaerodactylus townsendi is the source of this 718-nucleotide long non-coding RNA. RefSeq lists it as uncharacterized. The transcript has 3 exons. NCBI's taxonomy places the organism in Eukaryota, Metazoa, Chordata, Lepidosauria, Squamata, Sphaerodactylidae. The record is from RefSeq and is a predicted model, not a curated record.
GUUGAAAUCGGAGCCAGCCGCUCGGUGGCCUUUGCUGACAGGGAGCGGAUUGCGCUGGGGAGAAAGACGGCUCACAUUCCUCCGAUUGCCUGGCUCCCUGGCCACGCUGCGCCACAACAAAGGCCGGGCAAAGCGCCCGGGAUAAAGAAGGGAAACACAGGAAAGGGAGCCAAGUGGAGGCGAGCAACGGAGCCAAGGAGGACAAAGUGUUUUCCCUCUAGGAAACCAGCUCGUCUUCCCCUUGGGGGCUUCGCACCUGGAGACAGAGAGAUUAAAGAGAAAGUGUUUCUCCUCACUGGGUCACGUUCUGCCAGCUGGAGGGUUUUGUGAAACCUGAAAGCUUAUACCCCUUAAUAGAACUUAAUUCAUUGCCAGUAUUUGGACGGAAGACCUCCAGGGAAUACCAGGUUUGUAACAUGGAGGCAGGAAAUGGCCAACCACCUCUGAACAUCUCAUAGUUGAAUGCACCACCAGGGGUCGCCAAAAGUCAACUACAGGAAAGGAAGGAAGGAAGGAAGGAAGGAAGGAAGGAAGGAAGGAAGGAAGGAAGGAAGGAAGGAAGGAAGGAAGGAAGGAAGGAAGGAAGGAAGGAAGGAAGGAAGGAAGGAACGCUGCAUGACUGACUUGGGGACUCAGGUCAAAGGUCGUUGGAAGGUCUGUUUUCCCAUCCAAAUUACCAAGAAGACAGGAAACAUACAAAGAAAAUUGCUUCAACUAA